GUGGUGGUGUUAAAAAAGAUGAAAAAAAAGAGAUGACAGUCAGGUGACCACGGUAACAAUAAAAAUUCACAAGGCUUGGCUACUGACCAGGAACUUACAUUUUAUGGUCACUGUCUGUACAGCGCAGAACAAAAACACUGUAAUCUGUUUAGGUAAGGUAUUCAAGUCAAAAGAACGAUAUUAUCUAUGGUUUAGGAGAUCUAUGACCAUUAGUGGCCUAGAGCUCUUAUUGUGGACAGAACACAUUUUCUCCAAGUUUGUGGUAAAAGAUAUUGCAGAUAAAGAUGUUGAUGUAGUUUAGGCCUCAUCUGACAUUGAUUUUCUUAGACAAUAGACAAUCAUCGCUGAUGCCACAGUUAACACUAUUCAUUUUUAUUCAAUUUCAUUGAUUGAUUGAUUGAGUUGGCAUUUGAUUCAACCCGAGCAUUAGAUACUCCUUUUACGCAUCUAGAGCUGCAGCUCUCAGUCCAGCACCUUAAGUCAACCUGCCCUGAAAAUGUAUAUUAUCUAUCUCCUCUCCACACACACCUGAUUGCAUCAAGUGUGCAUUCACGAAAAGUUCAGACAGGUACGCAGAGCAGGGAAUUAUGGGUAACAUGCAGAGCAGAGAAGGCCACAGACUGAUAACCACACUUCUAAAAUCUUAAUGUAUCUAGAUAUGUACAAUUGUUUAUUUUAUUUGUAUUGAUUUAUUUUAUGGGGGGGGGGGGGGGGGGGGGGGGGGUUGGGUGUAAACCUCAUUCGUGCACAAAAAUGGCUUCGGUUUCUCAGCUGUCCAAUGGGAGCCUUGCCCUCUGAAACUAAAAACAAAACUAAACCAACGAAGAAGAAAGAGAAGGCCCUUUCACUCUAUUCUGUCUAAGCUUUGAAGUCACCCUCCUUUACAUCUUCAAACAAUAAAUGAAAUAAAAAGCACACGUUUGAAGUAAUAUAUUUAUAUUCAUAUACCAGUCAUUCAUUCAAGAACAGUAACAUGUACAAAACUGGGUUGAAUGUUCUUCAUGACAAAAAUAGACCACACAAAAACUCGAUAAAGGCCUUGUAAUCAAAAGGAAUGAGGGCCGUUGUUUUCUAAAAGUAGACUCGAAGAGACUUGAAAGUCAUGCACAAAAUACUGGCUCGCAUCCGCACAGGAGGAAGUAUGGCUUGUGACACAGUGAUGUUUUUCCAGCGAAUGCACCCACCGGUCUGAUGUCAUCCUAGACCUCCAUGCCCCUUUCGCUACAGACGCUAACGCUGGCGAUGCUAGCUCUGACAGAUGUGCCACUGCGGUGAAUGGGCUUGUGACAUGUCUGCUCAAGCCACUUGUCAUAGCGCUAGCAUGACCGUAUCACAAAUAGGGCACGACCAUUUACAUCCACAGCACUGUCAUAAACCACACAACGGCUCACGGUUUGUUUUUUUUUGUUUUCGUGGGCCAAGUUAACUCCAGAUUUGAAUUGACGUCGUGGACUCUGCAGUCUUGUCUCGAGGAAGUCAUAUCUCUCUUAUUCCAGGAAUAUGGGAGGUUUUAAAAGACUAAAGACAAUCUAGAUGGGUUGAUUGUGUCUGGCAGAGUCUAAGGUCCACAGAGCUAUGGCCAGCAAAGGGAUACUGAGAAAGAUACUCCUGACUGUCAGAGUAAACCACCAGCAAUAAACGACACAGAGAUUGGAACCAAUUUCAGUAUAUCAAUCAAGGGCAUUUACAGUAUAUUAACAUGGCGAGAGACAAAGAAAGAGCAUCCAUAAUUUUCCACUAUAACACAAGGUCCUCGCACACACUCAACAGGAAUAAUAUUAGAUGAAACAAGAAGCUCUGAAAAUGUUCACUUGAUUAUAAAAAUACUUCUAUAUUCCUCUUCAAAAUAUCUAAAAUGUACAGUGUUGUAAUUUUUUAAUUCACCUUUAUUUUGGCAAGUCAUGCGUCAACCUCGAUCAUAAUAUCCUUAAUAAUAGUGUAUUUUUUUAUUAUAUAUAUAUAUAUAGGAUAAUAAUAAUAAUAAUUAUGACAACAAGGAUAAUAAUAAUUCAGUAACAUUUUAAUGAAAGGAGCUGGGCAUAUGUCCCUAUGAGCUAUGCAUACUGCAUUCAAUAAAACCAUCAGUCUACUGAUUAGAACCACAUCUAAUGACAGCUAUUUAAAGUCACAUUCCUUGGUAAUCACUCAAAGCUACACUCAAACUACCCUGAACCAUGUUUCUUGGAUAUCAUUCACCAAACUGUGUCUGCUCAGUGAGCUGAAAACAUUGGCAGACUAAAGCCUCCAUUUUGUUGUUUUUGUUGAAAAAAUAAACAAAAAAAAAACAGAACUGGGGCUGACAGUAGCUACUCUUGGGUUUCUCACAGUGUUGGUGUGUGUGAAUGUGAAUGUGUGUGUGUGUGUGUGUGAGUGUGUGUGUGUGUGUGUGUGUGUGUGUGUGUGUGUGUGUGUGUGAAUGUGAAUGUGUGUGUGCGUGUGAAUGUGAAUGUGUGUGUGUGUGUGUGUGUGUGAAUGUGAAUGUGUGUGUGUGUGUGUGUGUGUGUUAGUGUGUGUGCUAUCUGGCUCCGCCCCACUGCAAAACCCUGAAGUUAAGUCUCUGCUGUCGUCGAGCUCAGCUGAGGGAUUGUCUUGCGAUAGCAAUCUCAAUCUUUGCUAUUUCUUUCAUCAGUGACUCCAGCGUUCACUUCUGGAGUAAGCACUUCAGACUGAAGACACUCCGUCACGAGGUGUCACACACAUGAGCUCCUUUGGUUAAAAUUUUACAGGUCAUUCAGUCUCACCCCAGUUGAAAGGCGUUGCUCAUAUGAGUACUAUAAAACCAUGAUUGUGGCCCACCCCAGCGCCCUUAACACCCUCAUAAGCAUCAUAAACCUACAGACACACACACUAACUGCACACCUGCACCAACGUGAACAUCAAAGCUCUGCUGAGGAGGGUGUUAAGGUUUGGGCUGGCAGAGAACGUAGCUCUUACAGUGGGCUCUUCAAAAGAGGUGUUAACAGUACUUCUUCUGGCACGUAACAGUAGAAAAAAAGAAGGGAGGAAGAGAGGAGAGAAGGGAGGGAGGGAGGGAGGUAGAGAGGAUGAUCUUGUGUGAUGGAGGCAGAAGGGGUCUUGAGUGUCCAUAAAUCCAGGGAGGUGUUUUUACCUGGGAGCAGAAAAGAGAAAACACGCAUUACUGUGGGUGACUGUGAGAAAGCACACACACACACACACACACACACACACACACACACACACACACACACACACACACACACACACACAUGCGUGCGUGCACACACACGCAAACGCACACACACACAAAAGCACACACACAAAAAAGCACACACACACAGACACACACGCACACAAACUUCCCAAGUAAUAACGUGUAUUUUGACUAGCAAUAGAAAUAACUAUAAAUCGUAUUGCGCAAACAUAGCUCUUAGCUCUUUCAAAAUCGCUUUAUAGCAAAUAUUACAAAAAGGCUCAAAAACUCACACAUUAAUCAUGAAAACACAUACACACACAUAUACAUACACACACACACACACACACACACACACACACACACACACACACAUACAAACAAAAACACUCUCACACACACACACACACAUCUAAGCACCCACCAGUGGUCCACUGUAGGGCUAGAGAGGUCUGGAACCCCCCUGGUUGGACUGCUGAAGCCACACAACACUCCAUCAAGGCCAGUCCUAGCCACCAUCACACAAAAGGAACCUGUGAGAGACACACACACACACACACACACACACAUACACACACACACACACACACACACACACA
Molecule: long non-coding RNA, 3750 nt
Organism: Clupea harengus (Atlantic herring)
Lineage: Eukaryota; Metazoa; Chordata; Actinopteri; Clupeiformes; Clupeidae
Source: Ensembl